CGGGUGCACUGAUCCGGCCGGGCCUUUCCCUCUGUGGAACCCCAUGGCCUUCACUGGCUGUGCGGGGGAAACAGGACUUUUACUGUGAAAAAAUUAGAGUGCUCCAGGCAGGCCUAUGCUCGAAUACAUUAGCAUGGAAUAAUAGAAUAGGACGCGUGGUUCUAUUUUGUUGGUUUCUAGGACCGCCGUAAUGAUUAAUAGGGACAGUCGGGGGCAUCAGUAUUCAAUUGUCAGAGGUGAAAUUCUUGGAUCUAUUGAAGACUAACUACUGCGAAAGCAUUUGCCAAGGAUGUUUUCAUUGAUAAGGAACGAAAGUUAGGGGAUCGAAGACGAUCAGAUACCGUCGUAGUCUUAACUAUAAACUAUGCCGACUAGGGAUCGGACGAUGUUAUUUCUUGACGCGUUCGGCACCUUUCGAGAAAUCAAAGUGCUUGGGCUCCAGGGGGAGUAUGGUCGCAAGGCUGAAACUUAAAGGAAUUGACGGAAGGGCACCACCAGGAGUGGAGCCUGCGGCUUAAUUUGACUCAACACGGGGAAACUCACCAGGUCCAGACAUACGGAGGAUUGACAGAUUGAAAGCUCUUUCUAGAUUGUAUGGGUGGUGGUGCAUGGCCGUUCUUAGUUCGUGGAGUGAUUUGUCUGGUUAAUUCCGAUAACGAACGAGACCUUAUUCUGCUAAAUAGACAGACUCAUUUUUUAAUGGGGUUGAAGGCUUCGGUCUUUGCUGU
This 728-nucleotide ribosomal RNA is filed under the name uncultured eukaryote. Its description in RNAcentral is "SSU rRNA". It matches the Rfam family "Eukaryotic small subunit ribosomal RNA", at positions 670 to 1403 of the family's 1831-position model. The record is from RNAcentral.